UACGGAGGGUGCGAGCGUUAAUCGGAAUUACUGGGCGUAAAGCGUGCGUAGGCGGUUUGAUAAGUCGGGGGUGAAAUCCCGAGGCUCAACCUCGGAACUGCCUUCGAUACUGGAAGUCUUGAGUCCGGGAGAGGUGAGUGGAACUCCGAGUGUAGAGGUGAAAUUCGUAGAUAUUCGGAAGAACACCAGUGGCGAAGGCGGCUCACUGGCCCGGUACUGACGCUGAGAUACGAAAGCGUGGGGAGCAAACAGG
RNAcentral lists this ribosomal RNA (253 nucleotides) under uncultured bacterium. RNAcentral describes it as "partial 16S ribosomal RNA". It matches the Rfam family "Bacterial small subunit ribosomal RNA", at positions 524 to 776 of the family's 1533-position model. The record is from RNAcentral.